Molecule: long non-coding RNA, 29948 nt
Filed under: Triticum aestivum (bread wheat)
Lineage: Eukaryota; Viridiplantae; Streptophyta; Magnoliopsida; Poales; Poaceae
Description: long non-coding RNA (TAES_LNC008356)
Source: RNAcentral
GCGGCCGUGAUGCGAUGCCACAAGAUACUCCCAUUAUGAAAUGUUCUGCUGUACGUACGUACCCUGCAGAUGUACUAUACAUGAGUCGACGGCGAAUGAUCGCGCCAUAUGUUCUGAACUCUCCCAUUAUGUAGUGUUGUGUAAACCAGUGUGUGAUGAGGGAGACAUACGUACUCCCUCCAUGAAUAAUCGUUGGAUUUGUGACUAUGAUCAACAGAUUAUCUCAACGGCAGUUUUACUUCUACAUUGUUUAACGAGAUGCAGCACAGAGUCACUGUGUAGGAUAACAAUCAUGUGGUACGCACCGGUAGAAAAAGAGGCUUCCGUCCAGCCCCAUUAGUCGCGAAACUGUAGGAACCGCGACUAAUGAAGUCUUUAGUCGCGGUUCGGCAGACGAACCGCGAUCAAAGGCCUGGGCCCAGGGCGCUCGGUGGCCAGCUGGUGCACGUGAGGGGCUUUAGUCGCGGUUGGCCAGGCCAACCGCGACUAAAGGUGCCCAAAGGCCUUUAGUCGCGGUUGGCCAGGCCAACCGCGACUAAAACUCCUCCCCUAUAUAUACCAGUUCAGCACGCUCACUUAGCCAUUUGGUGCCACUUCUCUUCACAAGCUUCACAAGGGGGUGUAGGUUUGCUUUUGGUUCCUCUUAUGCACACAAGGUGUUUGAUGAAAUGCCCCAAGAGGGUGAAACAAACAUGAUAUGAAGUGUUGGAGCUACACUUGAGGUUCCUCAUUUAUUUUUUCCUCCUCGAUCGCGGUUAGCAACUUGAACCUUUCAUGCAUGUGUGUCAUUGAUAAAAUAUGCAUGUGUGUUGUUCAUUGUUUAAUUUCUAUUGUUUAUAGCUAGUUAGUUUAACAAAUGCAUGAUGGUUAAUUAUAUAUUUUAUAUUAUAAUAAUGCAGAUGAAUCGGCAAUGGAUGUACGGUAACCGACUCUCCCGCGAGUUCACUACGGGUUUGAAAGAUUUCCUCGUAGUGGCUAAUGCGAACAAGCAGAAGGGUUUUGUUAUCUGUCCAUGUGUUGAAUGUAAGAAUCAGAAGGGUUACUCUUCCUCAAGAGAAGUUCACCUGCACCUGCUUCGGCACGGUUUCAUGCCAAGCUAUAAUUGUUGGACCAAGCAUGGAGAAAGAGGGGUUAUAAUGGAAGAAGAUGAAGAAGGGGAUGAUUUCAUCGAUGAAAGCUAUCUUGCUCAUUUCGGUGAUACUUUCAUGGAGGAUGCUAAAGGUGAAGGGGAAGGUGAAGGUGAAGAAGAGGCACGUGAUGAGACCGUUGAUGAUCUUGGUCGGACCAUUGCUGAUGCACGGAGACGCUGCGAAACUGAAAAGGAGAGGAAGAAUUUGGAUCGCAUGUUAGAGGAUCACAGAAAGUCGUUGUACCCCGGAUGCGAUGAUGGUCUGAAAAAGCUGGGCUGCACACUGGAUUUGCUGAAAUGGAAGGCACAGGCAGGUGUAGCUGACUCGGCAUUUGAAAACUUGCUGAAAAUGUUGAAGAAUAUGUUUCCAAAGAAUAACGAGUUGCCCACCAGUACGUACGAAGCAAAGAAGGUUGUCUGCCCUCUAGGUUUAGAGGUUCUGAAGAUACAUACAUGCAUCAACGACUGCAUCCUCUACCGCGGUGAAUACGAGAAUUUGAAUGAAUGCCUGGUAUGCACUGCAUUGCGUUAUAAGAUCAGAGGCGAUGACCCUGGUGACGAUGUUGAGGGCGAGAAACCCAGGAAGAGGGUUCCCGCCAAGGUUAUGUGGUAUGCUCCUAUAAUACCACGGUUGAAACGUCUGUUCAGGAACAAAGAGCAUGCCAAGUUGUUGCGAUGGCACAAAGAGGACCGUAAGUCGGACGGGGAGUUGAGACACACCGCAGAUGGAACGCAAUGGAGAAAGAUCGACAGAGAGUUCAAAGAUUUUGCAGCUGACACAAGGAACAUAAGAUUUGGUCUAAGUACAGAUGGCAUGAAUCCUUUUGGCGAGCAGAGCUCCAGCCAUAGCACCUGGCCCGUGACUCUAUGCAUCUACAACCUUCCUCCUUGGUUGUGCAUGAAGCGGAAGUUCAUUAUGAUGCCAGUGCUCAUCCAAGGUCCGAAGCAACCCGGCAACGACAUCGAUGUGUACCUAAGGGCAUUAGUUGAUGAACUUUUACAGCUGUGGGGCAGACCUGGUGUCCGUGUGUGGGAUGAGCACAAAAAAGAGGAAUUUAACCUACGAGCGUUGCUUUUCGUAACCAUCAACGAUUGGCCUGCUCUUAGUAACCUUUCGGGACUGUCAAAUAAGGGAUACAAUGCAUGCACGCACUGCUUACAUGAGACUGAAAGUGUACAUUUGCCAAAUUGUAAGAAGAACGUGUACCUUGGGCAUCGUCGAUUUCUUCCGAAAAUUCAUCCAGUAAGAAAGAAAGGCAAGCAUUACAAUGGCAAGGCAGAUCACCGGCCGAAGCCUGCGGAACGCACUGGUGCUGAGGUAUUUGAUAUGGUCAAGGAUUUGAAAGUCAUCUUUGGAAAGGGUCCUGGCGGACAAUCAGUUCCGAAGGGAGCUGACGGGCACGCAGCCAUGUGGAAGAAGAAAUCUAUAUUCUGGGAGCUAGAAUAUUGGAAAGUCCUAGAUGUCCGCUCUGCAAUCGACGUGAUGCACAUUACGAAGAAUAUUUGCGUGAACCUCCUAAGCUUCUUGGGCGUGUAUGGGAAGACAAAUGAUACAAAGGAAGCACGGCAGGACCAGCAACGUUUGAAAGACCCUGAUGACCGGCAUCCGGAAUGGUUUCAAGGUCGUGCCAGCUACGCUCUGACCAAAGAAGAGAAGGUCAUCUUUUUUGAAUGCCUGAGCAGUAUGAAGGUCCCGUCUGGAUUCUCGUCCAAUAUAAAGGGAAUAAUAAACAUGGCGGAGAAAAAGUUCCAAAAUCUGAAGUCUCACGACUGCCACGUGAUUAUGACGCAAUUGCUUCCGAUUGCUUUGAGGGGGCUCCUGCCGGAAAAUGUUCGAGUAGCCAUUGUGAAGCUAUGUGCAUUCCUCAAUGCAAUCUCUCAGAAGGUAAUCAAUCCAGAAGAUCUACCACGGUUACAGAACGAUGUGAUCCAAUGUCUUGUCAGUUUCGAGUUGGUGUUCCCGCCAUCCUUCUUCAAUAUUAUGACGCACCUCUUGGUUCACCUAGUCGAAGAGAUUUUCAUUAUCGGUCCUGUAUUUCUACACAAUAUGUUCCCCUUCGAGAGGUUCAUGGGAGUAUUAAAGAAAUAUGUUCGUAACCGUGCUAGGCCAGAAGGAAGCAUCGCCAAGGGCUAUGGAAAUGAGGAGGUAAUUGAGUUUUGUGUUGACUUUGUUCCUGACCUUAAGCCGAUUGGUCUUCCUCGAUCGCGGCAUGAGGGGAGACUAAGUGGAAAAGGCACGAUCGGAAGGAAAUCAACGAUAUGUAUGGACGGCCAUUCUCUGACUGAAGCACACCACACUGUACUGACCAAUUCCAGCUUGGUGGCUCCGUACUUUGAGAAACACAAGAAUAUUUUACGCUCGGACAACCCGGGGAAGCCUGAAUCCUGGAUUAGGAAGGCCCACAUGGAGACUUUCGGCAGUUGGUUGAGAAAACAUUUAAUGAAUGACAAUGAUGUUGUAGAUCAGCUGUACAUGUUGGCCAAGACACCAUCUUCGACUAUAACGACUUUCCAAGGGUACGAGAUAAAUGGGAAUACAUUUUACAUGAUCGCCCAAGAUAAAAAGAGCACCAACCAAAACAGUGAUGUCCGCUUUGAUGCAGCAACCAAGAAUGGGCAAAAGGUCACAUAUUAUGGUUACAUAGAGGAGAUAUGGGAACUUGACUAUGGACCCUCCUUUAAGGUCCCUUUGUUCCGGUGCAAAUGGUUCAAGCUAACAGGAGGUGGGGUAAAGGUGGACCAGCAAUACGGAAUGACAAUGGUGGAUUUCAACAAUCUUGGUUACCUUGACGAACCAUUCGUCCUAGUGAAAGAUGUCACUCAGGUUUUCUAUGUGAAGGACAUGAGUAGCAAACCGAGGAAACGGAAAGAUAAGAAAACGAUCAGUACAUCAUGCGAUGAUCCAAAGCGCCACAUUGUUCUUUCAGGGAAAAGAAACAUCGUGGGAGUGGAGGACAAGACAGACAUGUCAGAAGAUUAUAAUAUGUUUGCUGAAAUUCCGCCCUUCAAAGUGAACACCGACCCAAGCAUUAAGUUAAAUGAUGAGGAUGCUUCAUGGAUACGGCACAAUCGUAAGCAAGCAGGGACACAAGGGAAGAAAUGAUGUGUAAUAAUUUAUUGUACCAAACUUUGUUGAAUGGAUCAUGUUAAUUAUAUUACCCGUGAUGUGUUUGGUGUCCAUUUUCGAAUGAUUCGAGAUACCACUGAUGAUACAUGAAAUUUGGAGUGAUUUAGUCAUACUCCUACUUAGGCGUAUAAUAUGCAUACUCGUAGUCUUCAUAGCCGCCGCCGUUGUACUGGUAGUCGUCGCCUUCUAAGUUGCCGCCGUCGUCGUCGCUGCUGUCGUCGCUCUCGUCGGGCGGCGCUCGUGGCUCGAACUGAGGGUAGCGCAGGCGGGGGAUAUCGCCGGCCGUGAUGUAGUCCAUGACGCUCUGCAGAGUCCGGCCGUACCACCAUAGCCGACGGCCGGCCUCUGGUAUAUUAUUUUGAAUUGAAUUAGUUUUAUUUUUCUUAAUUUUUUGAUAUAUUAUUUGUAUUUUUAGAAUUUUGAAUUGAAUUAGUUUUAUUUUUCUGAAUUUUUUGAUAUAUUGUUUGUAUUUUUAACAUUUUGAAUUGAAUUAGUUUUACUUUUCUUAAUUUUUUGAUAUAUUAUUUGUAUUUUUAGAAUUUUGAAUUGAAUUAGUUUUAUUUUUCUGAAUUUUUUGAUAUAAUAUUUGUGUUUUUAACAUAUUGAAUUGAAUUAGUUUUAUUUUUCUGAAUUUUUUGAUAUAUUAUUUGUAUUUUUAAGAUUUUGAAAAAAAAAGUAUUUUGAAAAAUACCUUUAGUUGCGGUUGGCCUGCCCAACCGCGACUAAAGGUCGUUGCACGCGGGAACNNNNNNNNNNNNNNNNNNNNNNNNNNNNNNNNNNNNNNNNNNNNNNNNNNNNNNNNNNNNNNNNNNNNNNNNNNNNNNNNNNNNNNNNNNNNNNNNNNNNNNNNNNNNNNNNNNNNNNNNNNNNNNNNNNNNNNNNNNNNNNNNNNNNNNNNNNNNNNNNNNNNNNNNNNNNNNNNNNNNNNNNNNNNNNNNNNNNNCCUCUCGCCCGCCCUCAACGCCGCCGGCCGGCCUCGCUGCCGCGCGCGCACGUGCGCGCCUCUCUACAGAGAGCGAGAUCGUGGAGAGAGAGAGAAUUUUUUCUUUUUUUUUUCUUUUUUUGUUCUUUUUAAUUUUAACUAGUUAAUUAGUUUAACAAAAACGGUAAAAUAACUUAAAACUUGAUAAUUAACAAAAAAACCGUAAAAUUUGAUAAUUAACAAAAAAAACGUAUAUACGGAGAGGGGGCGGCGAGGGGGGCGGCGAUGCGCGCGGUGUUUUUUUAGGGAUCGAGAGGGGGCGGCGAGGGUUAUACAUGUGUGUUGUCCUCGCCUCCCUCUCCGUGACGCCGUCGUCUGCCGCCCUGUCUCGCGCUCUACCGCGACACCCUCUCCCACCCCUUCCUCGCCCCCUCCUUUUGCCACCGCCCUUUCGCCACCGCCACCGCCACCGCCCCCCUUCUUCACUUAAUUAAUUUGUUUUUACUACAUGUUUUCAGGACUGACAUAAUGGCGGACGAUAGAGCUGACCCGAUUAUGGACAACUAUGAUCCGGACGGUGAAGCACAUAUGUUCGGCAUCAUAAACGGCGAUAUUCUAUAUGUGCCGACCGGACAAGAAGAAGAUGAUAUCUCUUCUUAUCUGAACCUUGACGGUGAAGAUGAAGGGCGCCGUCAGCAAGAUGAUGCCGAACAAACGUCGAUAAACGACGAUCUUCAAAUGGAAGUAGCAACCACCUCCGGCGCCGAGGUAUAUAUAUACAUUGAGCCUCUGGUGAUACAAACUAACAGAUUUGAAUAAAUAUGAGUGUACUAACGCGCGCGACUCUCUUUCUUAUUUUAGCCCUCGGCCGGAUCAUCGAAACAAUCGAGUACGUCGUCAAAGCGUGGCGCAACCAAGACGAUGAAACAAGGAGAAACAUGCACCAUCGAGGUUGUCGACAGUGCAACCGGCAGGCCGCUGGAGCCCCGCAAGAAUGCCACCAAGUUUGUCAACCAAUGCGGAGCCAUUGUUAGAGACAAUGUCUCGAUCACCGUCCAGGAGUGGAAUAAGCCAAAGAAGGCACGAAUUGCUGGUUUCACUUUUGUCGAUAAGAGAACAAAAAAAAGAUUGCUUCAAGAAGCUUAUGGAACAUUUCGUUCUACCUCCGGAAUACAAAAAAUUCGAUGAGGAGGGUAACAAGAUUGAGGAAAAUAAGGAGAGGAGGAGGCUAGUCAAACAGUUCGCUCUUCAUAAGAUGGCCGACGCAUUCCGGAAAUUCAAGCAAAAUCUAGCCCAUGACUUUGUCAAGCAGAACAAGACUCCGGAUUUCAAAGGACAAUAUGAGAAACUGAAACAUGAUUGGCCAGAAUUUGUGAAGCAAAAGAAAUCGGAGCAGUUCAUUCAAAUAUCGAAAAAAAUAAGGAAAAUGCGGCUAAGAAGGAGUACAAUCAUAUUAUGGGGCCAGGAGGGUAUCGCCUUUGGGAGCCUAGGUGGGAGAAGAUGGAGAACGAGCUGAGGGCGCGAGGAAUCCGUCCAGGUACGGAGGGAUGGGACCCAAGGGCCAAAAGCUGGUGGUACGGGCAUGGGGGAACGCUGAACCCGGAGACAGGGGAGUGUGUUUACCGGGGCAAAAUAAUUAAACCCACCCAAGCCCUUAUUGACGCAAUGAGGGAUGCUCAAGAGGGGAAGAUCAAGUUCAACAGAGAGAACGACGCGCUGACAAAAGCCCUCGGGAAUCCUGAACACGGAGGACGUGUACGAGGCAUGGGGAACAUUCCGUGGAAAAUAGGGUUCCCCCAGAACGAUGACCCAUACGGUUACAGAAGCCGGAAGAGAAAGAUGGAUCGGGAAGCAGAUGUUGUGGCGCGGUUGGCAUCGGAAAUGGAUGUGAUGAAGAAAACCGUGAGUGUACUAGUAGCCGAAAGAGAUGCAACUCGGGCGCAGCAUGAAGAUCAUCCAGCGGAUCUCAGAAGCCAGCAGCGGAGAAGCAGUGUGGCUUCCACGGAGGCCCCAUCGACUGGUGCAGAUGCACCGACGAUCGAAAUUACUGCACCGGAGCCUCUGGUGGUCGAAAUUACUGCACCGGAGCCUCUGGUGGUCGAAAUUACUGCACCGGAGCCUCCUCGCUACCCCGUGGACGAUAUAAAGGAGAUGAAAGAAUAUCAUCUGUAUUAUCCUAUCGGGAACAUGUCCAUGAAGGUAGCCAUCGGCAGUGCUUUACCAUGUUUACCUGGAGCACUCCACCACAACAACCCCAUUCAAGAUGGCUAUGCUCGUGUCACGGUGGAGGACAUAGUCCAAGGGUUUGAGGACCUGGAGAUUGACAUUGCUACACCUGAAGGGGAGAAAAGACUUGGAGAUGUCAAGCGCCAUUUCAUUCUAUGGCAAAAGAAGUUUAUCAAGUUUCCAGGCGAGGCGCCAAGGACAACAAGUCCACCCCCCUACGGUGGUGGUGGUGGUGGCGGUUCACCUACACCUCUGUCACGUCAGCCGAUGCCCCCCAGUCCACAACGUCCGGCGGGUGAUCAGACACCGCCCCCCAGUCCUCGUCCGGCGGGUGAUCAGACGCCGCCCCCCAAUCCACCUCCGGCAAAGAAGCGGAAGCAGUCCUGGAUUAUUAACCCGGACCCUUAUGUACCUAAGACCACAAAGGUACCGGAGCCAUCACUGAAGCCUCUCCCCACAAGGCCUUGGGAACGUAGUGCCGAGGAAACUGCCGCGGCCGCGGCUGCUGAUCAUGAGAAAUGGAAGGCGGACUGCAAGAAGAAAAGAGAGCCCAAGCCCAAGCCAGUAUUUUCUGAUGAGCAAAAGAAGCGGGCUAAGUCAUUUUUGAGCACACCGUCCCAAGCCGCGAAGAAUCUGCCUGACGACUAUGCACGUGAACUUCGUAGGCAAGCACUCAUGUUGAAGGAGAAGAAAGAGCGGGCGGAGAACCAGGAGAACAAAGCCUUGGAGGAGGCCGAGAAAACGGAAUUAGAAAGUAAAAAAAGCGGGAAACGAGUUUCCCAGCUCGGGGAACAAAGUAAACAAUCGAUUGCCCCGCUUAUAGUGAAAGCCGCCGGUCCGGAUGACCCCGAUAUCAUAGCAGCUGCGGCAGCACAUGGAUUGACUGUAACGAGUGCCAGAGAACAAGCGGCCAACUUAGGUAUUACUCUUCGUGAACUGUUAGGCCUUGAUGAGGCGCCAGUGAAGGAGGUAGUAAUUACAUAUGUGAAGAAUGGGCCUCUCGUCGAGCCUGCGCAGGAAGAGGAUCUACCUCCAUAAAUGAAAGGUCUGCUGAAAUGGUACAAGGGUUACAUAAAAAAUAAAAACGCCAAAGAAUAUAUUUAUGCGGAAGUUAGAUAUGAGCAUCACUUCAAACAUUACUAUGUACAAAUUCAUCUAAGUGAAUUGUUCCAGCUUUUCAAUCUGCGCGAGCUCGACAAAUCUAUCAUCAGUUGCUACGUUCUGUAAGUGAUUUAUUUCUACCCCAUCUCGUUCAUAUUGCCUGCACUAUAUAUAUGUCCUAACUAUAUUGUUGUGUCCGCUAUUAUACAUGCAGAAUGAAGAUUAAGGAAUGCAGAGUAAGGAACAUCCAUGAUGUUGGGUUCAUUGACCCACACAUCGUUAAUGGAUAUGUGUUGGAGCAUCACCCCGCCGACAUGGAGGCAGACCUGUGGCAGUUUCUUACAAAGCAGGAACUCAAAAGUGAUAUUCUAUUUCCUUACCAUUUUGGGUGAGUGUUUCUGUCUUGAGCACAUUCACUUUUGUUUACUCCAUGCAUGGUAUGUGGCCGGCUAAUCGAUGAGUUAUGCAUGACGUACUGUGCAUGUAUCGUGUCCGCAGGUUCCACUGGAUUCUGCUAGUAAUUAAAGUUGACACCUCAGAAUGUCUCGUCCACGACUCUCUGAAUAAGGAUCCAAAGCUUUGGGGCGGCAUGAGAAGAAUGCUGCAGAAGUAAUUAUUUUCAUUCAUUUGCGCUCUAUAUCGAUCGGCCUAUUUCGUUCAUUUCCUAAUAUCAAGUAACUAAUAACUCUCUUGUUCAUUUAAUUUUCUUUGCCUCGUAGGGUUUGGAGACGGUUCGUAGAUACAAAGGUCGGUGAAUUCAAAAAAGAGCUAGAAUUCAAAAGGUCAAAGGCUAAGAAUGGUGAGGAUAUUCAGCCAGCGGGGACCAAUCUAUGUGCAUACUAUGUCUGUGAGAUGAUCCGGAGAUACACCUCUGAGCGGCGGGUUCCGAGUGAUACCAAUGCUCAGAGGAAUAACCUCCGGAUGAUGCUUAGUCCAGAAGCUCGCUUCCGACCACUUCAAGAGGAACUAGCUGGAUGGUUCAGGAGGGAAGUCCUCCAUCCUAAAGGAGAACACCAUUACGAGGACGUAGAACUUUAUAUGCAUUAAAUUAUGUAUGGAAACUUGUUCAAAAUUGUAUAUGGUCAUCCGAUGAUAUUGAAUAUAUAUUGUAUAUUCCUCUUGAAUUCUUUUUGGUUCUAAUUUCAAAUUUGUUUGAAAUUGUACAUUCAUAUGCAUGUAUGUAGUACCGUAGAAUAUGUGAAACUCCUUCAAAAUUAAAAUAAAGCACAAAAGAAAUAAAACAAUACAAAUUAAACAGAAAACAGGUUUAGGGGGGGGCUAAAACCCUAAACCUACGGCGGCCUUUAGUCGCGGUCGGCCAGAAGAACCGCGACUAAAGGUCCUCCGCCCCGACGGCCGCCUGGCGCCCACGUGGACGGGCCUUUAGUCGCGGUUCUUAAGCAACCGCGACUAAGGGGGGGGGGCCUUUAGUCGCGCCUGUUUGGUCGCGGUUGCGCAACCGCGACUAAUGGCAGUUGCGAACCGCGACCAAAGGCCCUUUUUCCACCAGUGACGGCUAAGGGUGUGUUUGGUGCAUGUAUGAACCUAGCCUAGUUGUUCUUCUCUCAUGCAUGCUGAGAGUAGACAUGCCGAGUUCAUGCGUUUGAUGUUGUUCGGCAGCGGUGUAUGCGCUGAGGAGACAUGCUAAGCUGAGACUUUGUUUGGCAGUCUGCAUGUGUUUAGACAUGCUGAACAAUUUUGGAUUUUGAAUUUUUUAGAACGGUGAACAAAAUUUUAAAAAUGUAAACAAAAAUUUAAAUCUAUUUUGAAAUUCUGAACUUUUAUUAAAAAUUUAAACAAAAUUUAAAAUUCUACACACUUUUUGAAAUGUUGAACAUUUUUUUUUGAAAAUUUAGACAUAUUUUGCUGAACAUUUUUGAAAAUAUAAUCAAAAUUUGAAAUUCUGAAUAUUAUCUAAACAUUUAACAAAAUCUAAAAUUUUGCAUGUUUUUUGAAAAUUUUAAAAAAAUGAAAUUCUAAUUUUCUUUAGAAAAUUUAACAAAAUUUUAAAUUCUAAACAUUUUUUGAUUUUUUUAAAUUUGAAAUUCUGAAUAUUUUUUGAAAAUUUAAACAAUUUCGAAAUUCCAUCCGUUUUUGAAUUUUUUUUAAACAAAGUUUGAACUUUUUUUAAUAAUUAUACAAAUUUUAAAAUUCUGAAUAUUUUUUGAAAAUUUAGACAAAAUUUGAACAUAUCUGGACGUGGUGUGGUAGGUGGUGACGAGGGUCAGGGCCAGCAUGACUGUCUCCAUGCACCCUCUUUGGGUGCAUGCGAUGGACAUGACUGAAGGCCCUUUUUUGCAUGAGAUGAGCAUAGUCCAAGUGAGUCCAUGCAUCCUACCAAAGCAAACACUGGUACGCGUCGUUACUAUACAAACGUUUUUUAAUCCUUUCUGCGACAGGAUUUGAAACCGUCGCCAAGUGAGUGUGGGCGAUAUGGGGUCCUUCCCACACGACACUAAAACCGUUGGGAAUAGUCCCUCCUUGCACAUAGGCUGUGGCAAAAUUAGCUUGUGUGUGAUCGGACGAGGCAUCAAAACCAAAUUAUUUUCGCUCUUAUGUACAUCGCACGCAGUCAAUCCAAGGAGUACGUUUUCGUUCUUAUGUACGUCCCACACAGUCAAUCCAGGGAAAACCUUUCCGUUCGUAUGUGCUUCCCACACAGUCAAUCCAGGGAAAACGUUUUCAUUCAUAUGUACAUCUCACACAGUCAAUCCAGAAAAAACGUUUCCGUUCGUAUGUACAUCCCACAUAGAUUUUUGUAUAGGCUCAUGUGUGAUAUGUGUAACUAUCACACACGCUCUGUCUUGGUUAACCGUUUGCUUUUAUUAAUUAUAUCACACACGAUUUGAUGAAGAAAACUAUGUGGGCUAUCCAUCACAAGCGCUUUUACUUCUAGAAUUGUUUGCAAAGUUCCAUGAUCCAUUUAGCAGGUUUAUUAGUUUAUAAUUAAUAAUUCCAGUAUUACAUAAAUUCACAUUUCAUAUCGAACAGCCGUUUGUCAAUUUCAUAUCAGGCACAUAGAUAUAUUUUAACAUCACAAUACGAUAGCUAUCGGAAAACAGCACAGUACAACAUAUAAAUAGUUCAACUUCAUAAGAACAAUAUUAGAACAAUAUAUCUAUUUCCCUAAUCAAGAUCAUCCAGGCUCGCCUUAUCCACCUCUGCUUUCAGUUCAGUAAGAACCCGUUUUGCACUGGUCAGCUGGGAAAGUGCCUCCUCCUUCGCCAACACCAUCUUAGCAAAGUAUUAUUUAAAAACUCUGAGCUCAUUCUCCACCUUCCUCUUUUUAUCCCGCAUCUUUAAAUAUUUUUCAGCGUUGACAACACUUUCUCUAAGCCUACAUCUGUUCUCUUCCUGAUACAUGCUCCACAACUUUGCUAGGCACAUCUUCAAAGACUGUUGCCACUCUUCAUCAAUCCACUCCAAGUAAGAACACUUCCAUUCAUCCUAUAAUAUUUAAAACUAGAUCUGUAACAAUUGUAGGGAAAAUGGGUUUAUGCAACAUAGAAAAAUCAUCAAUACUUAUUUUGAAAAACUGAAGAAACAUGUUAAUUAUGACAUAUCUUCUCAAAAAGAUCAAUGUGCAAAUGAAUUAAUUGCUACUGAGACAACAACCAAAUUCUGAAACAUCAGAAACUAUAACAAUGCUACAAGUUCUUACUCAUGUACUAUAAAUACCAAAUUGAACAUUUUAAGAGGAAGGUAAAUAUAACUACGACAACAUAGCGAUAGUGUUUGGAUGACAACAAAUUGAUACUAACAGGUGUAUACAUGCACAAAUUUAGUAACAUAACUAAUAGCACUAAGACCGUUCACUAUGUAUGCCAAAACCGGUGUAAAGACAACUGUUGCUACAUCUCGCACCGGUGCCCUGCACUGGCGAGCCGAUGCAGUAGAAAAAAAAUCAGGGACCCGAACUCCGGAGCAUCUAGUUGCUCCAACGCCCAGUUCCUUUGUGCCAUAAAGAUUUAGUAUUUUACUACUUGGCUUCUUGGAUGUGUGGACAAGUUGGCUCCACAAACUGCUAAGCGGUGCCAAAUAAUUUUCUAAUGGUACCGCUGAUGAGAUGGCAAUAUUUUUAGAUACUAGGUACAAACUGUGACACUGUCUUUGGAUGCGUUUGGUUGAAAACGUGGUAUGAAUGGGUUGAGACCGUGACAGUGUCUGGAUCACAUCUAACAAAUGAUUUGUAACAACGAAAGAUGGUCUAACCUUCUCUGCAUAUGCCAGAAAUUUCCUCCCACUGUCCAAAUAUUCAAAUGCAACUAGCUUCAUGUAUGGAGUUUGAUGGUGACAAUGAGCAGACAGAUCUUCAGCCACCCCGCUCCAUUCGUUGCAAGUGAUGGUCCUAGGGAACUACAAGAGGAAGAAAUGACUCAAAUCGCUGCCGGGUAAAAAUCCUUCAUUUCAAGUCAUAGCCCGAGAGAGAGAGAAGAGAAGCAAACCUGGGUGGUCAAGGAGUCGGAGGAGGAGGAACCACUGGAGAUGUCUUUGAAGAAGACCAUGCUGACCCCGGCGAUAGGAUGCGAGACGACAAGAGCGAGGAAGCAAGCGAGGAAGCGGCUAUAGCUUAGGAAGGAAGGGGAAACAGGGGAAAUGUGACUUGUUGUCGGGGAGAAAAGGAGAUGGAGAAGGGGGGGGUAGAUAUUUCGGCGGUAGGCCAAAAAUUUCAAAAUGUGGAGGGAAACUUUGCGCGCGGUGCCGCCGGAAACCAUUCACUUUGAACGAUAGUGUGCAUCGCAAACGAUUCUUCUGCUUUACGCGCAUGGUAUGAGUUUGAUAAUUCAAAUUUUGGUGGAAACUUCCCCAGGUACGUCAUUGCAUAAUUUAACAUCGCUUGCUAAUUUGAGCACACAAAAGAAAGUACAACACAUGAACCAGACUUACUGAAUCGAGCAAUUUUACUAAUUAAACAGAGCCAGUUGACCUAAACAUUGCUCUAACAAAAGACUAGCAUUAAAAACAAAGCCUAAGUACGCGUAAUUUUAACAAAUCUGCCGCCGCACCGGCCUAUGCAUCGCCGGUGUGAGAUGAGACGUCGAUGACUUGUCCUGGCGACAUGCCGCCGUUGGUGGACUCCGCGUCCCCCUGCUGAAGUCGACCGCGUCCUCGUCCUCGGCGCCGCCCUCAAGGUUGUAGUACUCGUAGUAGUGGCUGCGCCAGAGCUCGCGUUGGUACUCCACCGUCAAUUCCUCGAUGGACAUACUCUUCUCUACCUCGACCUGAGCCACGCGCAACUCCUCCUCUCGGUGAUCCUCGAUCUCCGCCGCCUCCUGCAUCUUCAGCUCCCGCUCGGCGACCUCAUGAGGAAGCAGGUGGUUCAUGGCCACCACCACCUUUUCGGACGUGGGUUGCAUGCUGGAUUCCGAGGUGGCCUGGAAUAUCUUGGCAUGGAUGGCCUCGACCCGGGCUAGGCGACAUUGGCGGCACAGACGGCAGCUCGAGCACUCUCGGCGUUUGCAGCCACCGUCGCAGCAGCAUCUGCAGCCGUCUCGGCUGCUGCAGCUGCCCUGUCGGCUGCCACUGCCGCCCUCCGGCGGAAGUGGCCACGCUCAAUGCGGAUGCGGCGGCACUCUCGGCGUAGGUGGCCACGCUCUUGCCGCAGGCGGCAACGCUCGCGGGGGGGAGGGGGGACGCGGCCAUCGUACGGGCCUUCAUGAAGUGUUUCGACGGUGUCAUCUUUCAAGAAGGGGGUGCAGGAAUGAGGAUCUGGAUUUGUGGAUUCGGGGGUUGUCGGCACUGGAGUAGAUGAGCCGGUGAAGUUUAAGGAGGAAGACUUAAAUAGACCCAGAAAUUUUCCUCGCAAAUGAUUCCUAUAAAACAACUGUGUGUGAUGUUGUAGAUAUUUUUUAUUAGCUGUGAAAGACGAAUUUGGAGUAAAGUGGCAACAGAUGGUGUUUUAAAUGUACGAGAAAAUUUGUAGUACUAAUACAACUGUAAUGUCAAAUUUGAAAACUUUCAGGGGUCAUUUGACCUUUUAAGACAUUUAAGUGAUUUUCUAGCCAUUUAAUGAUCGUAAUUGAAAUUCGAACGAUAUGUAUAGGCAACAGCUAACCAUAACGGUUUUAAAGUCAUAUUUUGUGUAUUUGUGUGCGAUUUAAUUCCAUGUGCAGUAAAUUGGAAGGAAUUUUCAAACAUAUUGGUCUAACGGCUAUGACACAAUUAAGCAUGGAGUGCCAUGGCAUUUAAAUUCUAAAAAAUUAAAAAAAAUAUCAAAAACACAUGAAACCUUGAUUGAUGUAAUAUCAGGCCACCAAGAUGAUGUGGUAAUUUUUUUGGCAUGUUUGACGAAAGUUUGGACACACACCCCUCACAAAUCGGAGCAACUCACCAGAAGGCUCAUGGUUUCGAGAGGGAACAAUGCAUGUUUGAUGAUGAAUGGAAAAUACCUUUCUCUUACGGCCUUCAAAUUUUUUCUAUGUGUAACAUACACUAAUUUAACUGUCAUGUGAAAAUUUGGAAAACUUCAAGGGUCAUUUGACCUUUUGAAGAUAUUUAAGUGAUUAUAGCCAUUUAAUGACCGUAAUUCAAAUUUGAACUACAUCUACAUGCAACGGUUAACCAUGAUGGUUUGAAAAAUCUUAUUUGUGUACUUGCGUGUGAGUUAAUUCAAUGUGCAGUAAAUUAGAAGGAAUUUUCAAACAUAUUGGUCUUACGGCAUGGACACAUGCAUGGAGUGCCAUGGCAUUUUAAUUCCAAAAGAUUAAAAAAUGAUCAGAAAAACAUGAAACCUUGCUUGAUGUAAUGUCAUGCCACCAAUAUGAUGUGGUAAAGAAAUUGGCAUGUUUGACAAAAGUAUGGACACACACCCGUCAUAAACCAGAGCAACUCACUAGAAGGCUCAUGGUUCCGAGAGGGAACAAUGCAUGUUUGAUGACGAAUGGGAGAUGGCUUCCUCUUACGGCGUUCAAUUUUUUACGUGUAAUGUGCACUAAUACAACUGUCAUGUGAAAAUUUAGAAAAUUUCAGGGGUCAUUUGACCUUUUGAAGAUAUUUAAGUGAUUUUCUAGCCAUUUAAUGACAAUAAUUUAAUUUUGAACUACAUCUACAUGCAACAGCUAACCAUAACGGUUUGAAAAUCUUAUUUGUGUACUUGUGUGUGAGUUAAUUCCAUGUGCAGUAAAUUAGAAGGAAUUUUCAAACAUAUUGGUCUCACGGCAUGGACACAUGCAUAGAGUGCCAUGGCAUUUUAAUUACAAAAAAUUAAAAAAUCAUCAGAAAAACAUGAAACCUUGCUUGAUCUAAUGUCAUGCCACCAAGAUGGUGAGGUAAAAAAAUUGGCCUGUUUGACGGAAGUUUGGACACACACCCCUCACAAACCAGAGCAACUCACUAGAAGGCUCGUGGUUCCGAGAGAGAACAAUGCAUGUUUGAUGACGAACGGGAGAUACCUUCCUUUUACGGCCUUUAACUUGUUUCUACGUGUAACAUGCACUAAUACAACUGUCAUGUGAAAAUUUGGAAAAUUUCAGGGGUCAUUUGACGUUUUGAAGACAUUUAAGUGAUUUUCUAGCCAUUUAAUGACCGUAAUUCAAAUUUGAACUACAUCUACAUGUGACGGCUAACCAUAACGGGUUGAAUAAUCUUAUCUAUGUACUUGUGUGCGAGUUAAUUCCAUGUGCAGUAAAUUAGAAAGAAUUUUCAAACAUAUUGGUCUCACAUCAUGGACACAUGCAUGAAGUGCCAUGGCAUUUUAAUUCUAAAAAAUUAAAAAAUGAUCAGAAAAACAUGAAACCUUGCUUGAUGUAAUGUCAUGCCACCAAGAUGAUGUGGUAAAAAAUUGGCCUAGUUGAUGAAAGUUUGGACACACACCCCUCACAAACCAGAGCAACUCACUAGAAGGCUCGUGGUUCCGAGAGGGAACAAUGAAUGUUUGAUGACGAACGGGAGAUAGCUUCCCUUUAUGACCUUCAAUUUGUUUCUACAUGUAACGUGCACUAAUACAACUAUCAUGUGAAAAUUUGGAAAAUUUCAGGGGUCAUUUGACCUUUUGAAGACAUUUAAAUGAUUUUCUAGCCAUUUAAUGACUGUAAUUAAAAUUUGAACUAGAUCUACAUGCUACGGCUAACCAUAAUGGUUUCAAAAACCUUAUUUGUGUAAUUGUGUGCGAGUUAAAAAAUCAUCAGAUGAUGUUAAUAUCUGGUUGUCAAAAAAGAAAAUGUAAAAUCUGGCAAGAGGACCGGCCCCCACACGAUUGGCACUCUAUUUCGCGCAUCGAGGUUUGGAAGGUGAGUGCCGGGCGUUAUUAAUCAGACGCGGUUCUGUAUUGGGAACCAUCGGCUAUUAUGUUCACACACGGAUUUUGCCACGGGAAUCGUGUGUAAUUCAAACUACAGUACUCAUAAAUUUCGGUGACCGACGUGUGUACUAUUCCCGUUGGUCUAGAUUCCGGCCUCCAAUAAAUACUACCUUGCUCACGUCGCCCCACCUGCAUUAUCAUCUACAUACUCUCCUUGCUCUCUCUCUCUCUCUCUCUCUCUCUCUCUCUUUCAAAUCUCUGCCAUGGCGCCACUGGUUUGGCCACACACAAACGAGGAGUCGCCGCCCCCUGAGGAUGCUCACUCGAAGAGCAGCGACAAGGACCCCUACGCGUCGUCGGACGAGGUUGCGCCGGUACCCCCAACUUUGGAUUGGUUUUGGGGCCAGUACGAUCUUUGUCUUUGGAAGUCACUGCCGCCUGCUGAGAAAGCCAGGCAAGUGGCUUUCAAGAACGAGAUCGCAGAGGAGGAUGCCAGGUACUAGGCGGCUUGUGAAGCCCGUGAUGCCGCCUGCAAAAAGGAGGCGGUGGAGCUUUGGAGGCGGGCGCGUCGUCAUGCAGAGGAGGUGUACGAAGAUGGGUACUUCACGAGGAAGGCCAAAGGUGCUAGGCGCCUCAUCUCUGCAUGGAGGUGGUCCACUGAUGAGAAGUUUCGGUGGGCGCCCAAUGAAAUUGCAAGAUUAUUCGCGCUGGUCCACCUGCAAGAGGCAGAUCAGUACGUCAAGCGCUGCGUGGCGGAGGAGGCGGAGUACUGCCUCCGCGCUAGGAAGCCGCCGCGCACUAGGGAGCUGCUGGCAAGGGGCUGCCAGAAUACUGGCCCCAGGAGGGAUUAUUAGUUUUAGUAUUGUUCGUUUUCAAUUUUAUGCAUUGUACCUAGGAGUUAAGUAUCAUCACGUAUAUGUGAUCAUAUUAUAUAUAUUCUAUGAUGAACUAAUGAACAAUUUAUCUGUUUUUAUAUACUAAUUUGAAUCUAACUGUUAUCAUCCACAUAUACUGAAUGGGAAGUGUGUAAACACACAUUGAAACAGAACAUAUAAGAACGGAAAACAAAGUACACACAUUGAUACAAAGCAAUAAACAAAGCAAUACUACGAUUGUUGUGAAUACAUAGCUAUCCACGUCGAAACGACUCAACAAAAUAAAACGCGUCCAUGAGACCAUGACCAGCAGCCCUUGCCUACGGUAGCUCUUGGCUCUGCCUGAACUCAGCAGGCGUUCGUCCAAGCGGUUGACACGCUCGCGGUACAUCUGGAGCGUGAUCUCGAGCUCCAAGUUAGCUAUUUCAUCGAAGAGCACCACCUCGAGGAUGCGACGACCAUGUUCCUCUACUGCGCCCAGGUGGACACCUGGGCUAAAGAGGCGGUCUAGCCCACUGACCAGCGCAUUGGCAUCGAGCGGGCCGCAGACAAGGUGAACGACGCGACCCAUGCGAAUGGCGCUGCGAGCGUCCGGUGCAAGAACGGCGCAGCCGGCCUCUGUUGCAAGUAUGGUGCAGAGGGCAUGUGCCCACUCUUGGCGAGGAAUGGGGGUACUGACGGGACAUGUACCAGCUGCGACGCCCUGUCGACAGUAGACAAGCGCAGAUGGAUCCGCUCUUGCUGUGCGGCAUGCCGCACCUCUCGUUCUACGGCGCUCCAACGGUCUCGCCGUGCGGUGAGCCGCAGCCUAUCAGCGCGGACGCACCUAGCUUGCUCUGCGGCGCGCCAUCGAUCAUGUUGUGCGGCGAGCUGCAGCCUCUUGGCGCUGACAUGCCUAUCUUGAUCAGCGGCGCUAAAGCGCCAUGCGCCAAGGGUCUGCUCAACCCUGGCGAUGACAUGCAUCACGAUGUCGUACAUCGCAUUGUCGGGGAGCGCCGCGGCCUCGACAGGCUGUGGCACCUUCUGGUUUUCCUCAUCGACGAGGUUGAUGGCAGAUACGGCGCUUUGGUCGGUUGGCAUGCUUGGAAAAGGUGGAUGUGCUACAGGCUGUGCUUGUUGCCUUCGUGCGUCGUGCCGUGCCUAGGUUUAUGCGCAAUAUCGCUGGGUGGCGGGAAACUGAUACGUCUCCAAUGUAUCUAUAAUUUUUGAUUGUUCCAUGCUGUUAUAUUAUCAUUCUUGGAUGUUUUACAAUCAUUUUACAGUCAUUUUAUAUCAUUUUUUGGUACUAACCUAUUGACAUAGUGCCCAAUGCCAGUUGUUGUUUUCUCCAUGUUUUUUACAUCGUAGGAAAUCAAUAUCAAACAGAGUCCAAACGCAACGUAACUCCUGGAGGAUUUUUUUGGGCCAGUAGAAAGCCAAUGGGCCAAGGAAGCAACUGAGGGGAUGCUCGAGGUGAGUAGCACCCACCAGGGCGCGCCAGGUGGCCCAGGCGCGCCCUGGUGGGUUGUGCCCACCUUGGGUGCCCCACGAACCGUCUCUUUGCUCUAUAAAUACCCAAAUAUUCCAGAAACCCUAGGGAAGGGACAAAAUAUUGAUCUAGCCGCCUCAGAGUCCAGAACCACCAAGAUCCAAUGUAGACACCAUGAUGGAGGGGUUCACCACUUCCAUUGGUGCCUCUCCUAUGAUGCGUGAGUAGUUCUUUAUAGACCUACGGGUCCGUGGUUAGUAGCUAGAUGACUUCCUCUCUUUCUCUCUCUCUCUCUCUUGAUUAUCAAUACAAUGGUCUCUUGGAGAUCCAUAUGAUGUAAGUCUUUUGGCGGUGUGUUUGUUGGGAUCCGAUGAACUUUGAGUUUAUGAUCAGAUCUAUGUUUUUAUCCAUGAAAGUUACUUGAGUCUUCUUUGAUCUCUUAUAUGCAUGAUUGCUUAUAGCCUCGUAUUUCUUCUCUGAUAUUUGGGUUUUGUUUGGCCAACUUGAUCUAUUUAUCUUGCAAUGGGAAGAGGUGCUUUGUAGUGGGUUCGAUCUUACGGUGCUUGAUCCUAGUGACAGAAAGGGAACCGACACGUAUGUAUCGUUGCUACUAAGGAUAACAAGAUGAGAUCUAUAUCUGCCGCAAUAGAUAAAUGAAUCUCGUCUACAUCAUGUCAUUGUUGUUAUUGCAUUACUCCGUUUUCUCAUGAACUUAAUACACUAGAUGCAUGCUGGAUAGCGGUCGAUGUGUGGAGUAAUAGAAGUAGAUGGAGGCAGGAGUCGGUCUACUAAUCUUGGACGUGUUGCCUAUAUAAUGAUCAUUGCCUGGAUAUCGUCAUGAUUAUUUGAAGUUCUAUCAAUUGCCCAGUAGUAAUUGUUUUCCCAUUGUUUGCUAUUUUUCUCGAGAGAAGCCACUAGUGAAACAUAUGCCCCCCGGGUCUCUUUUCAUCAUAUUUGCCUUUGCGAUCUAUUUUCCCUUGCAUUUAUUUUCAGAUCUAUUAAACCAAAAAUACAAAAAUAUCUUGCUGCAAUUUAUUUGUUUCGCGAUCUAUUUAUCCUAUCUACCACUUUUUACCUCACCUUUUUACCUAUCUUGAGGCGCCGUAAUCGGAAGGGAUUGACAACCCCUUUAACACGUCGGGUUGCGAGUAUUUGUUAUUUGUGUGCAGGUGUUGUUUACGUGGUGUGAGGAGGUUCUCCUACUGUUUCGAUAACCUUGGUCUCAUCACUGAGGGAAAUACCUACCGUCGCUAUACUGCAUCAUCCAUUCCUCUUCGGGGAAAUACCGACGUAGUUCUAGCAGACAUCAAAAGGAAUUUCUGGCGCCGUUGCCGGGGAGGAUCUUCAACAUCAACCAGGUUCCUAAUCACAAAUCUCAUAUCCUCGCAAUUUACAUUAUUUGCCAUUUGCCUCUCGUUUCCCUCUCCCCCACUUCACAAAAAUUUGCCGUUUUAUUCGCCCUCUUUUUCGUUUGCCGUUUUUUCGUUAGACCCGUUUUUGAGUGCAAUCUUGUUGCGUAGUCAUCAUGACUCAAGAGAACACCAAGUUGUGUGAUUUCUCAAAUACCAACAACAAUGAUUUUAUUAGCACUCCUAUUUCUCCUCCCGCCACUAGUGCGGUGUCUUGUGAUAUUAAUACUGCUUUGUUGAAUCUUGUCAUGAAAGAUCAAUUUGCCGAUACUCCUAAUGAGGAUGUCGUGUCUCAUCUUAACACAUUCGUGGAAUUAUGCGAUAUGCAAAAGAAAAAAGAUGUGGACAAUGUUGUGAAGUUGAAAUUAUUUCCGUUUUCUUUGCGAGAUCGUGCAAAAAUUUGGUUUUCUUCUUUGCCUCGCAAUAGUAUUGAUUCUUGGAACAAGUGCAAAGAUGCUUUUAUCACCAAAAAUUUUCCGCCUGCAAAAAUUAUUUCCCUUCGAAACCAAAUCAUGAAUUUCAAGCAACUUGAACAUGAGCAUGUUGCACAAUCUUGGGAAAGGAUGAAAUUGAUGCUAAAGAAUUGCCCAACACAUGGGUUAAAUCUUUGGAUGAUCAUACAAUUUUUUUAUGCAGGAUUGAAUUUUGUUUCUCGUAACCUUUUAGAUUCCGCCGCGAGGGGUACAGUUAUGGAAAUUACUUCGGGUGAAGCUACUAAGUUGCUAGACAAUAUUAUGGCAAAUUACUCGCAAUGGCAUACCGAAAGAGCUCCUACUAGUAAAAAAGUCAAUUUGGUAUAAGAAAUAAAUUAUUUAAGUGAAAAAAGUUGAUGCUCUUAUGAAGUUGGUUGCUAAUAAAAGUGCUCCUAUUGGUUUUAAUGAUGUGUCUUUGUCUACUUUGAUUCAGCAAAACAGUGAUGCCAUAGAUGUGAAUUUUGUCUCACGAAAUAAUUUCAACAACAAUGCUUAUAGAGGUAAUUUUAGUCCUAGGCCUUUUCCUAGUAAUUCCUGUAAUAAUUAUGGUAAUUCCUAUGGUAAUCCCACCUACAAUAAUAAUAGAAACACCUCUGAUCUUGAGAACAAUAUUAAAGAAUUUAUCAAUACGCAAAAGGCUUUCAACAGUUCGAUAGAAGAAAAGUUGAAUAAAUUGAUGGUAUGUCUAGAAGUGUUGAUAGAAUUUCUCAUGAUGAAGAAACUCUCAAGAUGAAAAUUUUUGUGCCUAAAGUUGAAGAAUCAAUUAAAGAUAUUUACAUUUCUAUGGAUGAAAGUAAGAAAAGAACCACUAUGCUUAGAGCUAAAAGAGAAUUUUUAGAAAAAACGUUUUCUAGUGAUUACUGCCAUAGAAGUUAUGAAGAUCUUAAAGUGAUUGGUGUUUCUUCUAUUGACUAUUUGUUUAGUAAAUUUAAGAUUGAUGAAAAAGUGACUGGAGAAGAGUCAACUUUAAUUAGAAGGCAUCCCUAUGAUUCGGAGGGUGAAAAUCUCGUUGAAAAAAUUGAUAAAAGUGGGUUUGAAGAGGUCAAGACUUUAACUAGUGAUGUGCCCACUAUUUUGGAUUACGAAGACUUUAAUUAUGAUAGUUGCUCUUUGAUUGAUUGUAUUUCUUUGUUGCAAUCCAUUAUAAAUUCACCCCAUGCUUAUGAACAAAAUAAAGCUUUUACUAAACAUAUUGUUGAUGCCAUGAUGAAAGCUUUUGAAGAAAAAUUGGAAUUAGAAGUUUCAAUUCCUAGAAAAUUGCAGGAUGAAUGGGAACCUAAUAUCAGAUUCAAGAUUAAAAAUUAUGUGUGUUUUUGCUUUAUGUGACUUGGGUGCUAGUGUUUCUACAAUUCCAAAAUCUUUAUGUGAUGUGCUUGGUUUUACCGAUAUUGAAGAAUGCUCUUUAAAUUUGCACUUGGUGGAUUCUACUAUUAAAAAGACUAUGGAAAGAAUUAAUGAUGUUCUUAUUCUUGCAAAUAGGAAUUAUGUGCUCAUAGAUUUUAUUGUUCUUGAUAUUGAUUGCAAUCCGUCUUGUCCAAUUAUUCUUAGUUGACCGUUUUUGCGUACUAUUGGUGCCAUGAUUGAUAUGAAAGAAGGCAAUAUUAAAUUUCAAUUUCCACUAAGGAAGGGAAUGGACCACUUCCCUAGAACAAGAAUUAGGCCACCAUAUGAAUCAAUCAUGAGGGCAUCUUAUGGAUCUCGAACCAAAGAUGACAAGACUUAGAUCCUACGCGUUAUGCCUAGCUAGGGGCAUAAAAUGAUAGCGCUUGUUGGGAGGCAAACCAAUGAAUAAAAAAUAUUUUUGCCUUUUGCUUUAUGUUAUUGAGUGUUAGCACAAUUAUUCUACUGCUAUGAUUGUGUCUUUUGUGUUUUAGUUAGUGUUUGUGCCAAGCAAUGCCUUUGGGAAGACUUGGGUGAAAGUUUAUUUGAUCUUGCUGAAAAACAGAAACUUUUGCGCUCACGAGAUUCGUUGUCAUUUUUUGCAGAAGAGUUCUUUUAAGUUGAUUAUUUUUGCAGAGGAUUAAUAGACAAAUUCUUCACGUCCACCAAUUGAUUUCAUAAUUUUUAGAGUUACAUAAGUAUUCGAAAUUUUCGGAUUGCUACAGACUGUUCUGUUUUUGACGAAUUUUGUUUUCUUUGCUUUGUGUGCUUGUUUUGAUGAUUCUACUAGAUCAUUGAUGGAGCGCGUUGCUGCGCUCGUCUAAUUUUUCUCUACAAUUUUUAGGGAUAGGAAGUAAUCUAUAUAUCAUAGUUUGCAAUGCUUUAGAGUGGUGGUGUGCUUUCUUGCAUCUCGUGCUUUUCUCCUUCAUUUUACAAAUCAUGGUAUCUAAUUGAAGAGAGGAGUCCUAUUGGAUUGCAAGAAAGCUAUGUGUUGAUCUAUUUUCUUAGGUCUGAUGGACUUGUAGCUGGUUCAUGUUUGGGUCCCAAGUGUAUUCGUCUCUAGGAUGGUUGAUAGAUAGUUGGAUACAUGUUGUGAUUUAUCGUGACCACUUUUGGCUCCUAUAAAAAGUUCUCUCGCAAAAGGACCCCGCCACAAAAUCUUAAAAUAGAAAUAUUGAGGAAAAAACAAUAUAUUUGAGUAAAUAAAAUAGGCACUACAAAUACUCUGGAAAAUUUGUACAACAGAUUCUCACCCGCAAGAGAAUUCUACAUUUAGACUAUCACAAUAAUCAUACAAGCGCCAACAACGAGGUAAGCACAAAAUGUCAAAUUUAAUCAUAUUUGGUGUGAGAUUACUUCACAUUGAGAAAUUUAAAUGCCGAUUAUAUAGUACCUAUAGUAUUGGUUUCAUGCAAUAAUACAAUAUUCAAACCUGAAAUUUGAUGUGUGCCAGAAAAAAAAAUUGUUUGCUAAGCAUUUUACCAUGUGUUUUAAGAUUUAUGAUUCAAGUGUAAUUGGCUAAUUACCGCACUGGCUACAGGGGCUAAGUGGCAGAGAGAUUGCACUGCUCCACAUUGUUGGCUUCUUCUACCGAGGUUGAUCAGUUCCAGGAGAUAUGAUCAAAUAUGUACAUAUAUUGCAUGGAUCCAUGGAAUCCCAAUCAUCGGCAUUAACCAUCAAGUUGUUGAACCUGAGAACAGAAAAGCAAACCAUUUUAGCUCUAGUCAAACCAUUGAUGAAAAUCUGCAAUGUAAUAUCUGAUGGUCUAAUUAAUUAUGAAGAAGCUAAGAAAUGAUCAGGUUACACUGACCAAAAUGUUCAAGCCUGGAGAGCUAGAGAGUACAAUCAUCAGCAUGCUAAUUUCACUAAUUAGAUAAUAAGCUUCGGAUAACAGUAUAUGUUCACAAAGCUAAGAAAUUAUCAGGAUACACUGAUCAAAAUGUUCAGGUGUGGUGAAUUGGCGAGUAUGUACUUAUAAAUUACUAAUAUGAGCAAUGCUUCUAGUAAUAUAAUUGUGAAGUGCACAUGCUACUAAAAUGUAAGUACACUGGGGAGAUCAUAAGUUUCAGACAAGAGUCAUUUUGUCUCAAAAAGUAUCUACUCGGUCGAUCAAGAAUCUAAGAAAUAAUAUAAAAUGGCGUACUCACAAUAACAUUGAGUACAAAGAAGACAAGAUAAGCUUCAGAUAACUGCAUUCUGAAGUGGUGAUGCAAUUGCUGAUCAAGAAAUGAAACAAAAAUGAACAACAAAAAGCGUAAGGCAUUACCUACUUGCUCACCUCCCAACUGACGAAUGAUUUGCCGGCGAUGGGAUGAAUGUGCAGGGCGACCUGCAUGGCGAAGUCGAGCUGGAUGCCUCACUUGUGGACUUCCUGGCCUCCUGUGGUAAUCCAAUCGUCACAUCAGAUUCAGAGGCAACAGACAAAGGAAAAGAAUUGCAAGAUGCAGAAGAACAUGAAUGGUAAAUCACCGUACCUGCAUGGCCGCUUGCCCUUUUCUACACUCCGUGGCCCUUAUUGACUGAGGCCUCCACGACCUCGAUGGGACGCGGGCGGGCCACGUUGUCACUGAGAUCCUUGCUCUCAUCGUCGACAAUGACAUCCUCUUCCUCGGAGAUGCGAAGGCUCUCGCUGACGUCGUCGCUCAGGGAGUUGUGGCGACCCACUGGUUUGGAUCUGCAUCGGUGGGGGCAAAUCGUCCGCCAUGUUCUUUUUCUUGCGGUCAGCCCUCGUCGUGUGUGUCCGACGUGUACCCGCCGUCGGGGGAUAGGGCCGCCGCCGCGCCGUGCGCCUUUGCCAUCCCCUCGGUAGACUGGGUGGGUGCCUCCUCCGUUAGGAUUAACGAGAGCCACCAUGGAGAUGGGUCCAAGGGGUAUGUGGGCUUCACCUGAUGGCCGGCCCAAUUAACGGGAAUGCAGUGAUUUUUCCACCGGAGUAGCAGCCUUUAGGACAGUUGGCCCACUUAAACGUUAAACAUGGAAUAACAGUAGAAUCCAACGACCAAAACCAACUCUGGAGUGAGAUCGAACGGCCAGAAAAGCAGAGGGUGUGAGAGGGCUGGGAUUAGGCUCGGUUAUACUGUCCUAAAUGGUUUUCUUUAAUGAGUUUUUACCAUACAAAAUUUGGAAUAUAGUAGAGAUAAUGCAAAACAAAAUAAUAAUAGGUUUUCUACAGUACUUAUAGUAGUGGUUUGGUUUCUUAUACUAACGGAUCUCAUGAAGGUUUUGUUUGAGUUUUGUGUGAUUGAAGUUUUCAAGUUUUGGGUUAUCUUACGAUGGAUGAAGGAAUAAGGAUAAGCAAAAGGCUAAGCUUGGGGAUGCCCGAGUCACCCCAAGAUAAUAUUCAAAGAAGUAGCAAGCAACUAAGCUUGGGGAUGCCCCCGAGUGGCAUCCCCGAUUUCUUCUAACGACCAUCGGUAUUUUACUUGAAACUAUAUUUUUUUCGUCACAUGAUAUGAGUUUUGCUUGGAGCGUCUUGUAUGAUAUGAGUCUUUGCUUGUUUUGCUUUGUGUUUUAAGUGUUGAAUCCUUGCUGGACACACCCUUUUUUAGAGAGCCAAAAAUUAUGAUAUGCUUGGUCCUAUGCUUCACUUAAAUUUUUAGAGCCAUGGACUUGCUCUAGUACUUUAGUUAUAUCUUUUUGAGCACGGUGUGCUUUGUUGAUUUUGAAGAAAUGCUAUCAUGCUUCACUUAGAUCUAUUUGGGAGUUACUAAAUUUUUAAGGAAUUCUCUCUUGCUUCACUUAGAUUAUUUUGAGAGAAAGAAAAAUUUUAUGCUCAUGAUCUUCACUUAUAUUUGUUUGAGCCUGUCAAAAGCAACAUAUGAAAAUAGUCCCAAAGAUAUAGAUAUCCAAGGAGGAUAUAAUAAAACUUUCAUGAAGAUCAUUGGACAAAAUAAACUUGAUUCUUAAUAAUGGUUUUGAGAUAUGACGAUAUGAUAUGUGAGUCAUGUUGAUGAGUAAUUGUGCUUUAGUAAAAAUAAUGAUGUUAAGGUUUGUGAUUCCCUAUGCAAGCACAAGAGUCAAUAGUUAUGCAAUGAAAUUUAUAUCCUACUUAUGGUGCAUUAUUCGCUGUUACUUAUGCUUAAUGCUUGGGUAUGAGAUUUUUCUCUUUUUGGUUGGUCGCUUCUCAAUCUUUUUGCUAGCCAUCAUUUUGCACUAAGUAUGAUCACUACUUGUGCAUCCAAAACCCUUUGAACCAGUUUUGCAUUAUGAGUCCACUAUACCUACCAUUAUGCGGUAUUUCCAUGCCGUUCUAAGAAAAUUUCCAGUGCCAUCUCUCAUGUUCAAAAUAAAUUUCUCUUUUGUGUGCUCUACUACUCGCGAGGCGGUAAAGGGUAGCCAAUAUUUUCCAUGCUAGAUGUGUUAUUCUCACGAUGAGUGUCUAUUCCCUUCUCAUUGCACGAGAGUACGACAAAGGUACUAGGGAUGCCUAGUCCCUAUUUGAAUAAAUGAAUUUACUUUAUGUUGUCAAAUAAUAAAUUCCUUGGAAAGUGUUGGUAUGGAAGGCACCCGUGGAUACAGCUAGCCAUGGAAAGUGAAAGUUAUGGUGGAAAAAGGAAUAAACUUUAUUUUCUGUUUGGGAACCGCCUAUGAUGUAUCUAGCAUGGAAAGUGUUGGGAUUCUCCAAGUCGUUUUCGUUGGUAGGAAAAGUAUGCCUCUCAAAAAUAAUUUUAUCUCUCAAUUUAAGCUUUGAGCUCUGGCACCUCUACAAAUCCCUACUUCCCUCCGCGAAGGGCCUUUCUUUUAUUUAUGCAAUUUUUAUUUUUGAAUUUGAGUCUCCAUCUUCUCUUAUAAAGCACCAACUAAGGGGCACUAUGAUCAUAUUUGAGCAUUGGGUGUAGUUAAUAUUCGAGUGUGUUUCAUGAAUGGAUCAAUGAUUGAUCAUGAUGGGAUAGGGAUAACUUGCUUUAGUGUUGAUAUUUUGAAAGACAUGGUUGCUUGUUUGUAUGCUUGAGUAUUAAAGUCUUCAUGUCAAAACUAGACUAUUGCUUUGAAUCAUAUAAAAGUCCAUAUGUCCAUGCUAUAAAGAAAAGAAUGUGAUGAACAUGUUAGGCGGCAUUCCACAUCAAAAGUUCUGUUUUUAUCAUUUACCUACUCGAGGACGAGCAGGAAUUAAGCUUGGGGAUGCUGAUACGUCUCCAACAUAUCUAUAAUUUUUUAUUGUUCCAUGCUAUUAUUUUAUCAUUAUUGGAUGUUUUACAAUUAUUUUACAGUCAUUUUAUAUCUUUUUGGUAAUAACCUAUUGAAAUAGUGCCGAGUGCCAGUUGCUGUUUUCUGCAUGUUUUUUACAUCGCAGGAAAUCAAUAUCAAAUGGAGUCCAAAUGCAACGUAACUCCUAGAGGAUUUUUUUGGACCAGUAGAAAGACAAUGGGCUAAGGAAGCACCUGAGGGGCUGCCCGAGGUGAGCAACACCCACCGGGGCGUGCCAGGAGGCCCAGGCGCGCCCUGGUGGGUUGUGUCCACCUCGUGUGCCCCCCGAACCGCCUCUUUGAUCUAUAAAUACCCAAAUAUUCCAGAAACCCUAGGGAGGCGACGAAAUAUUGAUCCAGCCGCCGCAGAGUCCAGAACCACCAAGAUCCAACCUAGAUACCAUCAUGGAGGGGUUCACCACUUUCAUUUGUGCCUCUCUUAUGAUGCGUGAGUAGUUCUUUGUAGACCUACGGGUCUGUAGUUAGUAGCUAGAUGGCUUCAUCUCUUUGUCUCUUGAUUAUCAAUACAAUGGUCUCUUGGAGAUCCAUAUGAUGUAAGUCUUUUGGCGGUGUGUUUGUUGGGAUCCGAUGAACUUUGAGUUUAUGACCAGAUCUAUGUUUUUAUCCAUGAAAGUUAUUUGAGUCUUCUUUGAUCUCUUAUAUGCAUGAUUGCUUAUAGCCUCGUAUUUCUUCUCCAAUAUUUGGGUUUUGUUUGGACAACUUGAUCUAUUUAUCUUGCAAUGGGAAGAGGUGCUUUGUAGUGCGUUCGAUCUUACGGUGCUUGAUCCCAGUGACAGAAAGGGAUCCGACACGUAUGUAUUGUUGCUACUAAGGAUAACAAGAUGAGAUCUAUAUCCGCCGCAAUAGAUAAAUGAUCUCGUCUACAUCAUGUCAUUGUUCUUAUUGCAUUAUUCCGUUUUCUCAUGAACUUAAUACACUAGAUGCAUGCUGGAUAGCGGUCGAUGUGUGGAGUAAUUGAAGUAGAUGUAGGCAGGAGUCGGUCUACUAAUCUUGGACGUGAUGCCUAUAUAAUGAUCAUUGCCUGGAUAUCGUCAUGAUUAUUUGAAGUUCUAUCAAUUUCCCAACAGUAAUUGUUUUCCCACCGUUUGCUAUUUUUCUCGAGAGAAGCCACUAGUGAAACCAACAGCCCCCGGGUCUCUUUUCAUCAUAUUUGCCUUUGCGAUCUAUUUUCCCUUGCAUUUAUUUUCAGAUCUAUUAAACCAAAAAUACAGAAAUACCUUGCUGCAAUUUAUUUGUUCCGCUAUCUGUUUAUCCUAUCUACCACUUUUUACCUCACAGUUUUGCCUAUCUUGAGGCGUCGUACCCGGAAGGGAUUGACAACCCCUUUAACACGUCGGGUUGCGAGUAUUUGUUAUUUGUGUGCAAGUGUUGUUUACGUGGUGUGAGGAGGUUCUCCUACUGGUUCGAUAACCUUGGUCUCAUCACUGAGGGAAAUACCUACCGUCGCUAUACUGCAUCAUCUAUUCCUCUUUGGGGAAAUACCGACGUAGUUCUAGCAGACAUCAGAAACAUGUGAGGAAAUGGCGAGAAACGGUGGCGUGUUCAUAAAACGCCAUCAAUUAAUGGAAAGUUAGCAUAUAAGGAACAUCGAGCUAGCACAAGAAAUAGAUGAUGAUGAGAUGAACACGAACCACACUAGGGAACCCUUGGUUAUGAACUCAUUAAUCGCAAACGCUUGUACACUAGCAAGCGUUUUUGAAAGUGCGUUAUGUCGACUAGAGGGGGGUGAAUAGGCGAUUUUUAUGAAUUCUUCACUGAGGAAUUUGCCGGUGAGGAAAUUCCUUAGCGAAGAACUAUUAGCAGCGGAAUAAGUACUCAGAAGUAAGCAUGACAGAAUACAAGCAUGGUCAUCAUGAUGAAAUGAAGACUAGCGCAGAGUACAGAAAGCGUAAUCACAGGAUAACACAAGAUGAAGACAUACAGACUAAAGAAAUUGAACUGAGGAAAUUGAGAAAGUCUUCAGUCAAAGUCUUCAAACACAGAUAUGAACAAACACUCAACACAGUAAUGAGGAAAUGAAAGGGUUGAGGAAAUAGAACCAGUUAGGUUGGUGAAGACAAUGAUUUGGUAGACCAGUUCCAACUGCUGUCUCAGUUGUACGUAUGGUUGGAGCGGCUGAGUAUUUAAACUCGAGGACACACAGUCCCGGACACCCAGUCGUUGAGCACGCAGCUCAGGACACCCAGUCCUCACCGUAUUCUGCUUGAACUAAGAUCACACAGAUCCCGUCCAAUCACUCGUGGUAAGUCUUCAGGCGACUUCCAAACCUUCACAGACUUGGUCACUCGGCGAUCCACAAUUCCUCUUGGAUGCUCUAGACCUUGACGCCUAACCGUUUGGAAGAAGCACAUUCUUCAAAGGUAACAAGCGUCGGAUCCACGCAGGAUCAAUU